This 429-nucleotide ribosomal RNA is filed under the name uncultured bacterium. Its description in RNAcentral is "bacterial SSU rRNA". It matches the Rfam family "Bacterial small subunit ribosomal RNA", at positions 355 to 776 of the family's 1533-position model. The record is from RNAcentral.
UGGGGAAUUUUGGACAAUGGGGGCAACCCUGAUCCAGCCAUGCCGCGUGAGUGAAGAAGGCCUUCGGGUUGUAAAGCUCUUUCGGCCGGGACGAAAUCGCACGGGUGAAUACCCCGUGUGGAUGACGGUACCGGAAGAAGAAGCACCGGCUAACUACGUGCCAGCAGCCGCGGUAAUACGUAGGGUGCGAGCGUUAAUCGGAAUUACUGGGCGUAAAGCGUGCGCAGGCGGUUUUGUAAGCCAGAUGUGAAAUCCCCGAGCUUAACUUGGGAACUGCAUUUGGGACUGCAAGGCUAGAGUACGGCAGAGGGGGGUAGAAUUCCUGGUGUAGCAGUGAAAUGCGUAGAUAUCAGGAGGAAUACCGAUGGCGAAGGCAGCCCCCUGGGUCGAUACUGACGCUCAUGCACGAAAGCGUGGGGAGCAAACAGG